CCUACGGGAGGCAGCAGUGGGGGAUAUUGCACAAUGGGGGGAACCCUGAUGCAGCGACGCCGCGUGCGUGAAGAAGCGCCUCGGCGCGUAAAGCCCUGUCAGCAGGGGAGAAAAUGACGGUACGUGAAGAAGAAGCCACGGCUAACUACGUGCCAGCAGCCGCGGUAAUACGGAGGGGGCAAGCGUUAUCCGGAUUUACUGGGUGUAAAGGGGGCGCAUGCGGCGAUGCAAGCCAGGAGUGAAAGCCCGGGGCACAACCCCGGGACUGCUCUUGGAACUGCGUGGCUGGAGUGCAGUAGAGGCAGGCGGAAUGUAUGGUGUAGCGGUGAAAUGCAUAGAGAUCAGGCAGAACACCGAUUGCGAAGGCAGCCUGCUGGACUGCAACUGACGUUGAGGCCCGAAAGCGUGGGGAGCAAACAGGAUUAGAUACCCUUGUAGUC
RNAcentral lists this ribosomal RNA (440 nucleotides) under uncultured bacterium. RNAcentral's name for it is "partial 16S ribosomal RNA". It matches the Rfam family "Bacterial small subunit ribosomal RNA", at positions 338 to 795 of the family's 1533-position model. The record is from RNAcentral.